UACGUAGGAGGCAAGCGUUGUCCGGAAUUACUGGGCGUAAAGCGCGUGUAGGUGGUGGGACAAGUCUGCUGUGAAAGCGCCUGGCUUAACCGGGCGAGGUCGGCGGAAACUGUCCGACUCGAGGACGGUAGAGGGGGGUGGAAUUCCCGGUGUAAUGGUGAAAUGCGCAGAUAUCAGGAGGAACACCGAUGGCGAAGGCAGGUCUCUGGGCCACUACUGACGCUGAGAAGCGAAAGCAUGGGGAGCGAACAGG
RNAcentral lists this ribosomal RNA (253 nucleotides) under uncultured bacterium. RNAcentral's name for it is "partial 16S ribosomal RNA". It matches the Rfam family "Bacterial small subunit ribosomal RNA", at positions 524 to 776 of the family's 1533-position model. The record is from RNAcentral.